GCGGAUAUAACUCAAUGGUAGAGUGCCGGGUUGUGAUUCCGUAUGUUAUGGGUUCAAGUCCCAUUAUUCGCCCA
This 74-nucleotide transfer RNA is filed under the name Flavobacterium sp. RNAcentral's name for it is "tRNA-His". It matches the Rfam family "tRNA". From Rfam's summary of the family: Transfer RNA (tRNA) molecules are approximately 80 nucleotides in length. Their secondary structure includes four short double-helical elements and three loops (D, anti-codon, and T loops). Lineage: Bacteria; Pseudomonadati; Bacteroidota; Flavobacteriia; Flavobacteriales; Flavobacteriaceae. The record is from RNAcentral.